This 259-nucleotide ribosomal RNA is filed under the name uncultured bacterium. Its description in RNAcentral is "partial 16S ribosomal RNA". It matches the Rfam family "Bacterial small subunit ribosomal RNA", at positions 539 to 793 of the family's 1533-position model. The record is from RNAcentral.
CGUUGUUCGGAAUUACUGGGCGUAAAGCGCGCGUAGGCGGGUUGUUAAGUUAGAGGUAGAAAGUCCCGGGCUCAACCCGGAACUGUCCUUUAAUACUGGCAACCUAGAGUUCGAGAGAGGUGAGUGGAAUUCCGAGUGUAGAGGUAGAAAUUCGUAGAUAUUCGGAGGAACACCAGUGGCGGAAGGCGGCUCACUGGCUCGAUACUGACGCUGAGGUGACGAAAGUGUGGGGAGCAAACAGGAUUAGAUACCCUGGUAG